CGGCGCGCCUAACACAUGCAAGUCGAACGGAGCUGAGAGGAGCUUGCUUUUCUCAGCUUAGUGGCGAACGGGUGAGUAACGCGUGAGUAACCUGCCCUGGAGUGGGGGACAACAGUUGGAAACGACUGCUAAUACCGCGUAAGCCCACGGCCCGGCAUCGGGCUGCGGGAAAAGGAUUUAUUCGCUUCAGGAUGGACUCGCGUCCAAUUAGCUAGUUGGUGAGGUAACGGCCCACCAAGGCGACGAUUGGUAGCCGGACUGAGAGGUUGAACGGCCACAUUGGGACUGAGACACGGCCCAGACUCCUACGGGAGGCAGCAGUGGGGGAUAUUGCACAAUGGGGGAAACCCUGAUGCAGCGACGCCGCGUGGAGGAAGAAGGUUUUCGGAUUGUAAACUCCUGUCGUUAGGGACGAUAAUGACGGUACCUAACAAGAAAGCACCGGCUAACUACGUGCCAGCAGCCGCGGUAAAACGUAGGGUGCAAGCGUUGUCCGGAAUUACUGGGUGUAAAGGGAGCGCAGGCGGACCGGCAAGUUGGAAGUGAAAACUAUGGGCUCAACCCAUAAAUUGCUUUCAAAACUGCUGGCCUUGAGUAGUGCAGAGGUAGGUGGAAUUCCCGGUGUAGCGGUGGAAUGCGUAGAUAUCGGGAGGAACACCAGUGGCGAAGGCGACCUACUGGGCACCAACUGACGCUGAGGCUCGAAAGCAUGGGUAGCAAACAGGAUUAGAUACCCUGGUAGUCCAUGCCGUAAACGAUGAUUACUAGGUGUUGGAGGAUUGACCCCUUCAGUGCCGCAGUUAACACAAUAAGUAAUCCACCUGGGGAGUACGACCGCAAGGUUGAAACUCAAAGGAAUUGACGGAAGGGCGA
RNAcentral lists this ribosomal RNA (873 nucleotides) under uncultured bacterium. RNAcentral describes it as "bacterial SSU rRNA". It matches the Rfam family "Bacterial small subunit ribosomal RNA", at positions 40 to 924 of the family's 1533-position model. The record is from RNAcentral.